Molecule: long non-coding RNA, 103 nt
Organism: Polypterus senegalus (gray bichir)
Lineage: Eukaryota; Metazoa; Chordata; Cladistia; Polypteriformes; Polypteridae
Exons: 3
Source: RefSeq, a predicted model, not a curated record
CGCGCGGCGUGAACACGAGGUCUGGCAAAGCCUGUUGGGCAUGAACUACCCUUUGAGACAGUGUACCUCCAGGGAGUCCAGAGUGUCCCUUGUAACAGAGCCA